CAGCCGCGUUUUAGGGUCCGACGUUAAUCGGAAUUACUGGGCGUAAAGGCAGGGUUUGUUAAGCGGAUGUGAAAGCCGGGCUUACCCUGAACUGCAUUUCGAACUGGCAAACUAGAGUGUGAUAGAGGGUGUAGAUCAGGUGU
Molecule: ribosomal RNA, 143 nt
Filed under: Pseudoalteromonas sp. S4050
Lineage: Bacteria; Pseudomonadati; Pseudomonadota; Gammaproteobacteria; Alteromonadales; Pseudoalteromonadaceae
Description: partial 16S ribosomal RNA
Source: RNAcentral